UACAGAGGGGGCAAGCGUUGUUCGGAAUUACUGGGCGUAAAGGGCGCGUAGGCGGCCCGCUAAGUCGAACGUGAAAUCCCCGAGCUCAACUCGGGAACUGCGUCCGAUACUGGCGGGCUUGAAUCCGGGAGAGGGAUGCGGAAUUCCAGGUGUAGCGGUGAAAUGCGCAGAUAUCAGGAGGAACACCUAUUGCGAAGGCAGCUCGCUGGGACGUAACUGACGCUGAGACGCGAAAGCGUGGGGAGCAAACAGG
RNAcentral lists this ribosomal RNA (253 nucleotides) under uncultured bacterium. RNAcentral describes it as "partial 16S ribosomal RNA". It matches the Rfam family "Bacterial small subunit ribosomal RNA", at positions 524 to 776 of the family's 1533-position model. The record is from RNAcentral.